UGCAGUCGAGCGGUUAGGCCCCUUCGGGGGUACACGAGCGGCGAACGGGUGAGUAACACGUGAGCAACCUACCCUCAACUUCGGGAUAAGCCUCGGAAACGGGGUCUAAUACCGGAUAUCACUCCUUGCCUCAUGGUGGGGGGUUGAAAGUUCUGGCGGUUGGGGAUGGGCUCGCGGCCUAUCAGCUUGUUGGUGGGGUAAUGGCCUACCAAGGCGUCGACGGGUAGCCGGCCUGAGAGGGCGACCGGCCACACUGGGACUGAGACACGGCCCAGACUCCUACGGGAGGCAGCAGUGGGGAAUAUUGCGCAAUGGACGAAAGUCUGACGCAGCAACGCCGCGUGAGGGAUGACGGCCUUCGGGUUGUAAACCUCUUUCAGCAGGGACGAAGCGAGAGUGACGGUACCUGCAGAAGAAGGACCGGCCAACUACGUGCCAGCAGCCGCGGUAAUACGUAGGGUCCGAGCGUUGUCCGGAAUUAUUGGGCGUAAAGGGCUCGUAGGCGGUUCGUCACGUCGGGAGUGAAAACUCGGAGCUCAACUCCGAGCCUGCUUCCGAUACGGGCAGACUAGAGGUAGGCAGGGGAGAGCGGAACUCCUGGUGUAGCGGUGGAAUGCGCAGAUAUCAGGAAGAACACCGGUGGCGAAGGCGGCUCUCUGGGCCUUACCUGACGCUGAGGAGCGAAAGCGUGGGUAGCGAACAGGAUUAGAUACCCUGGUAGUCCACGCCGUAAACGUUGGGCGCUAGGUGUGGGGGACAUUCCACGUCCUCCGUGCCGCAGC
Molecule: ribosomal RNA, 782 nt
Filed under: Kribbella catacumbae
Lineage: Bacteria; Bacillati; Actinomycetota; Actinomycetes; Propionibacteriales; Kribbellaceae
Description: bacterial SSU rRNA
Rfam family: Bacterial small subunit ribosomal RNA
Source: RNAcentral